Molecule: ribosomal RNA, 508 nt
Filed under: uncultured bacterium
Lineage: Bacteria
Description: partial 16S ribosomal RNA
Rfam family: Bacterial small subunit ribosomal RNA
Source: RNAcentral
AUUGAACGCUGGCGGCAGGCCUAACACAUGCAAGUCGAGCGGCAGCGGGUAGAAAGCUUGCUUUCUAUGCCGGCGAGCGGCGGACGGGUGAGGAAUACCUAGGAAUCUGUCCAUUAGUGGGGAAUAACCAGCCGAAAGGUUGGCUAAUACCGCAUACGCCCUACGGGGGAAAGGGGGGGAUCUUCGGACCUCUCGCUAAUAGGUGAGCCUAGGUCGGAUUAGCUAGUUGGUGGGGUAAAGGCCUACCAAGGCGACGAUCCGUAGUUGGUCUGAGAGGAUGACCAGCCACACUGGGACUGAGACACGGCCCAGACUCCUACGGGAGGCAGCAGUGGGGAAUAUUGCACAAUGGGCGAAAGCCUGAUGCAGCCAUGCCGCGUGUGUGAAGAAGGCCUUCGGGUUGUAAAGCACUUUAGGCGGGGAGGAAAGGUUAAUGAUUAAUACUCGUUAGCUGUGACGUUACCCGCAGAAUAAGCACCGGCUAACUCCGUGCCAGCAGCCGCCGUAA